Molecule: long non-coding RNA, 2137 nt
Filed under: Sus scrofa (pig)
Lineage: Eukaryota; Metazoa; Chordata; Mammalia; Artiodactyla; Suidae
Description: lncRNA (ENSSSCG00045018055.1, ENSSSCG00065074463.1)
Source: RNAcentral
GAUCCCUGUGGGUAUGGCCCUAAGAAGAAAAAUUGCACAUGAAAGUAUAAAAAUACUUAAGUUUCAUAGUUGAGGAAAAAUAAACAGGUAAGGAAUUAAGAUCCAUUAAAAUACUCCGUAGGAGUUCCCUGGUGGCUUAGUGGGUUAAGGAUUCGGUGUUGUCACUGCUGUGGCUUGGGUUCAAUCCUAGCUCCAGAACUUCCACAUGCUAUGGAUAUGGCAAAAAAUAAAUAAAUAAAAUACUCUGUUAAUUUUAAAUAUAUAUUAUAUGUAAGAGACCAGCUUUGGGCAGUGAUAUAAUCCCAGCUGCAGGCUUCUUUCUUUCCUUUCUUUUCCUCUUCAAUUUCUCCACCUUCAAAAACCUAACCCUCACCAACUAUAAUGGAAAAAAUUAAAAUCAUUAAAAAAAAACAAAACGGGAAUUCCCGUUGUGGCGCAGAGGAAACAAUCCGACUAGGAACCAUGAGGUUGCGGGUUUGAUCCCUCCCUGGGUUAAGUAAGGAUUCAGUGUCAUUGUGAGCUGUAGGCCGAAGACGCGGCUCGGACCUGGCGUUGCUGUGGCUCUGGCGUAGGCCAGCAGCAGCAGCUCUGAUUAGACCCCUAGCCUGAGAACCUUCAUAUGCCGAGGAUACAGCCCUAAAAAGACAACAAGACAAAAAAAAUCCCCACAAAACCUUACCCUAGGAGUUCCCUUUGUGGCUCAAUGGGUUAAGAACCUGACAUAGUGUUCAUGAGGAUGUAGGUUUGAUCCCUGGCCUCACUCAUGGGUUAAGGAUCCAGCGUUGCCGUGAGCUAUGGCGUGGGUUGCAGAUGUGAUUCGAAUCCCGCGUUGCUGGCAGCUACAGCUCUGAUUUGACCCCUAGCCUGGGAAUCUCCGUAUACCGCGGGAGUGGCCCAAGAAAUGGCAAAAAGACAAAAAAAAAAAAAAAAGAUGUUUACCAAAUGGUUUGGGAGUUCUGCUGUGGUGCAGCGGGUUAAGGUAGCUGCUAUGGCAUGGGUUCGAUCCUUGGCCCAGAAACCUUUUCAUGCCAUGGGCGCAGCCAAAAAAAGCCUCCCCAAAACAAAAAGGGAUGUGUGUACAUGUAUAACUAAAUCACUCUGUUGUACAGCAGGAAUGAUCACAACAUUGUACAUCAACUAUACUUCAACAAGAGAGUUCCUGCUGUGGUGCAGUGGAAACGAAUCCAACUAGUUUCCUUGAGGACUCGGGUCCGAUCCCUGGCCUCGUUCAGUGGGUAAAGGAUCUGGCAUUUCCAUAAGCUGUGGUGUAGGUUGCAGACUGGGCUCGGAUCCCGAGUUGCUGGAGCUGUGGUGUAGGUCGCAGAUGAGGCUUGGAUCCAGCGUUGUUUUGGCUGUGGCAUAGGCUGGCAGCUACAGGUCUGAUUCUACCCCUAGCCUGGGAACCUCCAUAUGCCACAAACAAAAAAAAGAGCUACUUGAUAGGUCUUAAUGAGAUAAUGUAUGUGAAGUGCCAAGCACAGUGCCUGGCACAUAAUAAACUCUCAAAAGCAUUACUAAUGGUUCAACUCAGAGCUUUUUUUUUUUUUUUUGGUCUUUUUAGGGCCGCAUCUUCAUCAUAUGGAGGUUCCCAGGCUAGGGGUGGAAUUGGAGCUGUUGCUGCCAGCCUACACCGCAGCCACAGCAACUUGGGAUCCAGGCAUCGUAUGCAACAUUUACCACAGCUCAUGGCAACGCUGGAUCCUUAACCCACUGAGCAAGGCCAGGGAUCAUGAAUACUAUCAGAUUCGUUUCUGCUGAGCCAUGGUGGGAAGUCCAACUCAGUGCUCAAAUAUUCAUUGAGAGCCCCUGAAACUGCUCUUCUCUCUGUUUGGAAAUUUGCUUGGUAAAUCUGUACUCAUUCUUGAAAAUUUUCUUUAACUGAGCCUGAUGCCCUGCUCUCUCUCGUGUUCAUCAAAAUAAAAAUACCAAACUUGGAGUUCCUACUGUAUUGCAAUGGGAUUGGCAGUGUCUCUGCAGCACUGGGACACAGGUUUGAUCCCCAGCCUGGCACAGUGGGUUAAGGGUCUGGCACUGCCACAGCUGUGGUGAAGGUGGAGAUUUUGGCUUGGAUCUCAUCUCUGGCCUGGGAACUCCAUCUACCAGGGGGCAGUCAAAAAAAAAAAAAAAAAAAAAAAAA